GAGAAACUGGCAGCUGUGCAACCGGUUGGCUGAGGAAAGACACCACUCCUCCCACCUUAUGUACCAGUAUGGAUCCCUCCAAGUUCACGGGACAUGAAAGCAACGGUUCAGCUUAAAGCCAUUGACACAGAAGAAGAAAUUUGGACACACAAAAAGAGACACCAGGGGUAUGAGUACACACAAGAAAUCCUGAAGACCAUGUGAGGACACAAUGAGGAGACAGCUGUCUGCAAGCCAGGGAACAGGCCCCAGAAGAAACCGGACCUGUCGACACCUUGAUCUUGAACUUCCACCCUCUAGAUCUUGAAAAUUCCUCAAGGAGAUGAUCCAAUUGGCUUGG
Molecule: long non-coding RNA, 340 nt
Filed under: Equus caballus (horse)
Lineage: Eukaryota; Metazoa; Chordata; Mammalia; Perissodactyla; Equidae
Description: lncRNA (ENSECAG00000058244.1)
Source: RNAcentral